RNAcentral lists this ribosomal RNA (497 nucleotides) under uncultured bacterium. Its description in RNAcentral is "partial 16S ribosomal RNA". It matches the Rfam family "Bacterial small subunit ribosomal RNA", at positions 28 to 507 of the family's 1533-position model. The record is from RNAcentral.
GAUGAACGCUGGCGGCGUGCCUAAUACAUGCAAGUCGAGCGAACGGACGAGAAGCUUGCUUCUCUGAUGUUAGCGGCGGACGGGUGAGUAACACGUGGAUAACCUACUUAUAAGACUGGGAUAACUUCGGGAAACCGGAGCUAAUACCGGAUAAUAUUUUGAACCGCAUGGUUCAAAAGUUAAUGACGGUCUUGCUGUCACUUAUAGAUGGAUCCGCGCUGCAUUAGCUAGUUGGUAAGGUAACGGCUUACCAAGGCAACGAUGCAUAGCCGACCUGAGAGGGUGAUCGGCCACACUGGAACUGGGACACGGUCCAGACUCCUACGGGAGGCAGCAGUAGGGAAUCUUCCGCAAUGGGCGAAAGCCUGACGGAGCAACGCCGCGUGAGUGAUGAAGGUCUUCGGAUCGUAAAACUCUGUUAUUAGGGAAGAACAUAUGUGUAAGUAACUGUGCACAUCUUGACGGUACCUAAUCAGAAAGCCACGGCUAACUACGUG